CAGGCCGAGCUCCCUGUCCUUGGCGCGGAUCUCGUCACGUUGUUUGUCCACCACCUCCUUCAGCUUCUUCAUCACCUGCCGCUCCCGCUCUGACAUGCCUGGGUGGGCAAGUGAGAUGGGCAGCUUCUGGUGGCUGCUAACACUCCUCAGCUUGCGGCGGCACCACUCCAGUCUCUGCCUCCGUGGUCACGUGGACUUCUCCUCUUCUGUCAGUGCCAAAGCUCUCCCUGCCUCCACCUUACAAGGACACCUGUGACUAUAUUCAGGGCCCACCCAGGGCCCCACGCAUGCAGACGCCCGAGGCUGGCCGAUGGAACAGGGACGGUUCUUCCGCAAUCCCAAAGUGCAAUGUACUGCUGACAAGCCCAGAAAGGACACACAGCUUUACACCCUGGACCCUAUUUCAUUCUCAUUCCCGACCACUGGAAAGGGGUCUUAUUAUCAUUACUGUUGUUUAUGACAUCAGUCCCAUUUUACAGAUAUGAAAAACUGAGGUCUAGAGAGAUUUUUUUUUUUUUCAAAGUCUUACAGCCAAGAACUCAAACCCAGUUUUCUGACUCCAGAUCCCAUGUCUUCUCCGCGACCCCAAGCUGCCUUGCCACCAGGGCAUGAGAUGCAGAAGGCUCCCUUAAGGUCACCAGAAUGUGUCACCACAGGGCAGACUCUAGUCCCCACUUUCUCCCAGACAGGGCUACCUUCUGGGGAUGCCCUCACAUAUUUUUGCAUGUGUUCACACACAUGUACCCCUGCAAGAAUGUUCAUCUAUCAAGUUUUGUUUUUUGUUUUUUUGAGACAGAGUCUCACGUUGGUGCCCAGGCUAGAGUGCAGUGGUGCGAUCUCGGCUCACUGCAACCUCUGCCUUCUGGGUUCAAGCAAUUCUCCUGCCUCAGCCUCCUGAGUAGCUGGGACUACAGGCAUGUGCCAUCACACCUGGCUAAUUUUUGUAUUUGUAGGAGAGAGAGGGUUUCACCAUGUUGGCUAGGCUGGUCUUGAACUCCCAACCUCUGUGAUCUGCCUGACUUGGCCUCUCAAAGUGCUGGGAUUACAGGCGUGAGCCACUGCUCCCCGCCUGUCUGUUUAGAGCAGGGUCUCACUCUGUCACCCAGGCUGAAGUGCAGUAGCACGAUCACAGCUCACUGCAGCCUCAACCACCCGGGCUUGAGGCCAUCUCAGCCAUCUCAGCCCCCCCGGGCCUGGGACCACUGGCAUACACCACCACACCUGGCUAAUUUCAAAUUAAAAAAAAAUCUCACUGUGUUACUCAGGCUGGUCUCAAACUCCUGGCCUCAAGCAAUCUUCCCAUCUGGGUCCCACAAAGCUGUAGGAUUAUAGGUGUGGGACACUGUGCCUGGCCAUCAAGUUCUUGCUUUUCUUUUUUUUUUUUAGCCAUGGUCUCACUCUGUCACCCAGUCUGGAGUGCAGUGGCAGGAUCACAGCCCACUGCAACCUCUCACCUCCUAGGCAUAAGUGAUCCUCCCACCUCAGCCUCUGAGUAUCUGGAAUUACAAGGACGCACCACCACACCUGGCUCAUUUUCAAAUCUUUCUUUGUAGCGACAAGGUCUUGCCAUGUUGCCCAGGCUGAUCGCAUCUGGGCUCAAGCGAUCUUUCCACCUAGGCCUCCCAAAGGGCCCUGAUGACAGGCAUCAGCCACCACACCUGGCCAUCAAGGGUUUACUGAGCAGCUGCAGUGUACGUGACACCGAACUAGUCAUGAGGUUGGUGAAUAAAUGAAACCUGAUUCUGCUCUCA
This is a long non-coding RNA of Callithrix jacchus (white-tufted-ear marmoset), 1751 nucleotides long. RefSeq lists it as uncharacterized. NCBI's taxonomy places the organism in Eukaryota, Metazoa, Chordata, Mammalia, Primates, Cebidae. The record is from RefSeq and is a predicted model, not a curated record.